RNAcentral lists this ribosomal RNA (472 nucleotides) under uncultured bacterium. Its description in RNAcentral is "bacterial SSU rRNA". It matches the Rfam family "Bacterial small subunit ribosomal RNA", at positions 355 to 825 of the family's 1533-position model. The record is from RNAcentral.
UCGGGAAUUUUGGGCAAUGGGGGGAACCCUGAUCCAGCAAUGCCGCGUGUGUGAAGAAGGUCUUCGGAUUGUAAAGCACUUUAAGUUGGGAGGAAGGGCAGUAAGUUAAUACCUUGCUGUUUUGACGUUACCGACAGAAUAAGCACCGGCUAACUCUGUGCCAGCAGCCGCGGUAAUACAGAGGGUGCAAGCGUUAAUCGGAAUUACUGGGCGUAAAGCGCGCGUAGGUGGUUUGUUAAGUUGGAUGUGAAAGCCCCGGGCUCAACCUGGGAACUGCAUCCAAAACUGGCAAGCUAGAGUACGGUAGAGGGUGGUGGAAUUUCCUGUGUAGCGGUGAAAUGCGUAGAUAUAGGAAGGAACACCAGUGGCGAAGGCGACCACCUGGACUGAUACUGACACUGAGGUGCGAAAGCGUGGGGAGCAAACAGGAUUAGAUACCCAAGUAGUCCCUGAGCGGGCUGGCAAGGCGCAU